This 185-nucleotide ribosomal RNA is filed under the name Pseudomonas chlororaphis subsp. aurantiaca. RNAcentral's name for it is "partial 16S ribosomal RNA". It matches the Rfam family "Bacterial small subunit ribosomal RNA", at positions 54 to 233 of the family's 1533-position model. The record is from RNAcentral. Lineage: Bacteria; Pseudomonadati; Pseudomonadota; Gammaproteobacteria; Pseudomonadales; Pseudomonadaceae.
CGGCCUACCAUGCUAGUCGAGCGGUAGAGAGAAGCUUGCUUCUCUUGAGAGCGGCGGACGGGUGAGUAAUGCCUAGGAAUCUGCCUGGUAGUGGGGCAUAACGUCCGGAAACGGACGCUAAUACCGCAUACGUCCUACGGGAGAAAGCAGGGGACCUUCGGGCCUUGCGCUAUCAGAUGAGCCCC